This 24-nucleotide non-coding RNA is filed under the name Arabidopsis thaliana (thale cress). Lineage: Eukaryota; Viridiplantae; Streptophyta; Magnoliopsida; Brassicales; Brassicaceae. The record is from RNAcentral.
AGCGGACCUUAUCUAGUUGUUUAU